UAAAAGCUUACCAAGGCCACGAUCGGUAGCUGGUGUGAGAGGACGAUCAGCCACACUGGGAUUGAGAACGGCCCAGACUCCUACGGGGGGCAGCAGUGAGGAAUUUUCGUCAAUGGGGGCAACCCUGAACGAGCAACGCUGCGUGCAGGAUGAAGGUUUUCGGAUCGUAAACUGCUUUUCUCUGGGAAGAGAACGGACGGUACCAGAGGAAGAAGCCCCGGCUAACUACGUGCCAGCAGCCGCGGUAAUACGUAGGGCGCAAGCGUUGUCCGGAAUUAUUGGGAGUAAAGAGCUGGUAGGCGGACUGUUGCGUCUGCUGUGAAAAGCUGGGGCUUAACCCUGGCCUUGCAGUGGAUACGGGCAGACUAGAGGUAGGUAGGGGAGAAUGGAAUUCCCGGUGUAGCGGUGAAAUG
Molecule: ribosomal RNA, 413 nt
Filed under: uncultured soil bacterium
Lineage: Bacteria
Description: bacterial SSU rRNA
Rfam family: Bacterial small subunit ribosomal RNA
Source: RNAcentral